RNAcentral lists this long non-coding RNA (907 nucleotides) under Vigna radiata. Its description in RNAcentral is "long non-coding RNA (VRAD_LNC004213)". Lineage: Eukaryota; Viridiplantae; Streptophyta; Magnoliopsida; Fabales; Fabaceae. The record is from RNAcentral.
GGGGUUUGAAAGUGUUUUGAGAAUGUAAUGACGAAGUUAACAAUAAAAAUUAAACACAACCGAAUUUAAUUUAAAACAUUAAAGUGCAUGAAAAUAUUAAACUGAACAAUGCAACAUAUAAAUAUCUAAACACAAUUAAAAUUAUAAAAAUGAAAUGCUUAAAUUAAAACAUUAAGUUCACAGUGCAACAAUUAAGCUUUAACGCUAAAGGAUGUUAAUUAAUUGCUAAAAACCAAGAUGACUAAAUUCUCGUGAUUUACCAUACACUUCUGUCUUCCAAGCCGCCACCAAAAUAAUGGGAAACAUGUCCCUCUUCCAGCAGCGUGACGAUGCUAUCUCCAAGCAGUGAAUUUAAGUUCACUUUCUCCAAACAUGAGUAACCGUGCACUGUCUCUUGUAGCAAAAUGCCAAAAUUAAAUGUAACUUCAAUUGAAAUGAAAAACACAUAACCAAAUUCUCUCCUCCCAUCAUUAAAAAAUUGUUGCAACCAACCUGUAUUCCCUAAGAUAGUAAAAUAAAUAAAUCACACAAUGAUAAAAGGACUCACAUCCACGGACCCACACUCACCUAAUCUAACUCUCAUAUUAUGAAAACAAAAUAAAAAAAAAAUGCUAAAUUCCUCCCAGAACCCUCUGCACACAGGCCGUGGCACACCAACUAAUCAAGCCAUCACUUCUUCAUUCUAAGGGAAAUAAAGGAAAAGAACCUAACCAAAAUUCACCUACCCACACGUCCCAUCACCUCCUAAACUCCAACCUAAUAUACUCCUCAUUCAUAAAAAAAAAACAAAAGAAAAAGGCAAUUAGCAAUUCCCCUGCUGGAUGUAGCGUACAACUCAUCAUUCUAAUCAUCAAAGAAAAAACCAAGAACAAGUGUGUAUAUCUCUGCAGCCAGAAAAAUGUUCCAG